AGAUAUGUGUGUGUAUAUAUAUAUAUAGCCACUCAUCGCUAUAUAGAUAUGGCUCUGGCACACAGUCACGUACAUGCUAUUUAUACGUUUAUUCAUUUAGUUCGCCUGUUUUAAUUAUAAUUAACGCAGCUCUGUAAAUUAACCAGCGAAGAGCGAAGUGUCCGCGGGGUUCUGGUUACCCCCAUCCGAAAUAGUUGCUCCGGAUUAGCGCUGGGCAUCGGAAAUUAUUAAAACGCAUAAACCCAAGGCGAAAGCUAAGGCUUCGUAUCUCUAUCUUGAUUGCAUGGCAAUGGCUCUGAGAACAAUUGAAGUAAUGCCAAACUGAUUGUCAACUGUGGAUGAGUUUAUGCCACUCGGAUGACGUGCUGAAAGCCUCUGAGCAGGUUGUCAAUCAGGUUGUCGCACACAUCCCGAGCGGCGCCUUAAUAAUUGAUCCCGCCUGCAGCUGGACGACGACGACGGUGGAUGGAGGUGCUCUGCACAGCGAGAAAAAACCCCCAAUUUCUACCCAUUGAAAAGAUUAUAUUGCAGGAAUAUAGGAGUGGUGAUGGGUGACCCACUGUCGAGCCUUUAUGUUUUCCGUGUAUGACAUGGAGCACUGAAUGGUGGUGCUGACAGGCACCGAUGCCAGCGACUCCGGCGGGGGCAACUCCAACUGGGCCAUGACGUGCGGCGAACGCAUCGGAUUGCGGAGUGCGGAGUGCGGAGUGCCAAGUGGAGCCCAAAGGAAGCGUGUGAAAUCCCAUUUGGCUAAUGGCCAGCGGCGGCUGCAGGAAAAUCAACCUGUUCCGAGGCGCCUCCCCGCGCGGAACAGGGAAAACUCGCUUCCAAUUUCCACAGCGACUCGCCGAAUGUGGGCCAACCAACCAACCAACGGCGUGUCUUUUGUGCUGGUGGGAAAACGGGUUUUUCGUUCGGGUUCUGCAACUGUUUUUUGGCGACUCGCUGACACGCUGGCCUCCUUUUCGCCGUUCCAGCUCUGGCACUCCUAGCCUUCCACUUGCUCUGCUGUGCUGGCUCUGCUGUGCGCUGUGCUGAUUUUCCCCAUUUCCCGCAGCGGGAUCGGGAAAGCGUAAUGAGGGGGCCUUCCAGGCGAGAUUUUCCCGGGGUGGUUGGGUGGCUGGGUGGCUCAACAGGGUGUGUCGGGGUCACCUUUGUUGCCGUUUUUCGGGGGUGGUUAACCGUAAAACGAGGCGCUCAAUUGUGGGAGUUCAGUUCGUGGAGCGGAGUGAUGAUAUCAGCCCGGGGUGGAUGAUUUUCCGCAAGGAGCUGGCUGCUCCACGGCCCAACCCACCCCUGCCAAAGAAGUCGUAAUCGAGAGGGCCCCACUGCAAAUCGAUAUCGCUCAUACGCAACGUGAGCCGGACAAAGAACUUAAUUAAAAGUGAUUCACCCAAGGAGAGGAGGCCAGCGGGCGGUGCAUGCAUCACCAUCACUCUCCGUGCGGCGAAUGCCAUGCAAAUCCCUUCGCCUGACCCACAUCUCCGGCUGAUUUGAAAUUCGAAUCUGGCGCGGGUUCAUCGGCAUCCCGGCAAACUUCCCACAACAAGCCGAAACACAGCGAAAAGGGCAAACACAAAUUUAUGCUCGCAGCCCACAGCAAGCGGAGCUCAUAUUUAUGGAUGCCUUUUGGUUUGGCGCAAGCCGAGGAGCGCUCUAAAUUGGGUAUACAGAAGAUGGGGAGCCCCUGCCAUCACCAAACUGUUUUCCACUUCGAUAUGCUCGCACAAGUACAAUUCUGAAAACAAACAACUUUUUGUAUAUCGUAUAUAAAUUGUAUAGAAAAAAGGCUUUAUUUAUUCUGUGUGGUAUAACUAUUGUAUUACUCUGAAUCCAAGGUUAUAAUUACCUUUGAAUUGGGAUUGGACUUCAAUUAAACAAUUUUUUAUGU
This is a long non-coding RNA of Drosophila ficusphila, 1891 nucleotides long. RefSeq lists it as uncharacterized. Lineage: Eukaryota; Metazoa; Arthropoda; Insecta; Diptera; Drosophilidae. The transcript has 3 exons. The record is from RefSeq and is a predicted model, not a curated record.